RNA transcript from Zea mays, 2847 nucleotides. RefSeq lists it as uncharacterized. The record is from RefSeq and is marked validated. The transcript is spliced from 5 exons. NCBI's taxonomy places the organism in Eukaryota, Viridiplantae, Streptophyta, Magnoliopsida, Poales, Poaceae.
AAGUCAUCCCCCUUUCCUCUAAGCUCGUUCCAUGGAGAACUCUUCUCACAAGCGGACGCGGGAGGCGGCCGACCUCGCCGCCGGAGGCUGUGGAGAGGAGGGCUCGCCGCAGGCCGACGCCAAGAGGCUGCGGCCGCAGGACCUGCUCGACAUGCUGGAGGACGACACCGACACGGCCGCGGUCGGCGACCUACCGUCGGUCAUGCGGAGCCUGUAGGAGGAGAUAGCUAGCUUCGACGAGGCCGCGGAGACGCCGGCGCCGACAUCGGGGCAGCAGCCAGAGCUGGGCUUCCUACUCGAGGCCUCGGACGAUGAGCUGGGGUUGCCGCCGACGGGCGCCGCCUCCUCUUCGUCGGAGGAGGCUGGGCGCGCGGGGGCACCGGAGCCCGCGCUCGACGGCCAGAUCUGGGGCUUGGAGGGCGGAGGUGCUCCUUUCCUUCUUGGCCGGCGGCGGCAUGGACUGGGCAGCGGCUUUCGGGUCUCCGUCGUGGAGCGCGGUGGCGACGGACCCUGGCCCGACCAUGCUGUCCUUCGCAGGCCCGUCCUCCUCCGCCACCGACGCCGAGGUGCGACUCCAGGAUUUCACCGUGGGUCGCAUGGAAGCGGAGGCGACGGUCGCGAGCAUCACGCACGGAUGGGGGCAGGCGAUAGCACGGCAUGCAGACGCCCAAGUCCAGCAAUGCUGGGGCAUCACGAGCGGGCGGGGGUACCGCGGCGUGCGUCACGGGGACGGGGCGGGCGCACGGGCGGGCAUCGCGAUGACGGGUGCGGGAGCAGGCGGGGGCACGCGAAUCACGGGAGUGGAGCCACGGUGGUGGUGGACGCCCUCGUUAGUGUCUUAUAGAGUAGUAGAGAUAGAGAUUGUAGGCGUCCACAAUUCCCAGUGGCGCACGGUUCUGCUGUCCCUCCAUCCUCCCGCGCUCCCUCCGUGCUACAUCAACGCCCGCAGGUUCUGCCUCUCCCUGUCACUACGCCGCCUGCCCCCGCCGCACCCCUCCCCGUUACUAGGUGCGGCGCCGCGCCGCGCCGCCUCCUCGGCCUCGCCUCCGCGCUCGCCGACGACUCGUCCUGCUCCGACCUCCUCCCGCUGUUCCCAGUCCCCGCCGGCUACGCCGCCUCUGACGCCGCGGAUCCCCGAUGCCGAGAGCUGCCCGUCGCCCGCUGCCGUCAGCAGCGUCUUCAGUAAGUUCCGCGACCCGGCGCCAUCUCCUGUGACCCCUGACGACGCUGCGGCGGCGCCUGACGAGCCCAGGGAUCUUGGCUUCGACGAUGACGACAGUUUCGACGCCGAUUCUAUUCUGUGCGGCGUCCACCAGAGCGCGGCCGAGGGCAUCGAUGGCAUCAUGGCUUCUGGCAGGAUCAGAAUAUCAUCAUCAAUCAAGCGCUGAAGCGGCAUAGUGUCGAUCCUGAAUGGUGGAUGUGCCCUGCCAUACCUGUGAAAGACAUUACCCCGGCACCACCGCCUUCAGUGGCAAUGGCGAAGGAAGACUAAGAAGAAGUCACUGGGGACAAUAUACGAGGAGGGGACUCCUGAGCCUGCCAAUGGCGACGACGAUGGAGCUUUGGCACUGCCAGAGACAGGAUUGGGGCUUAGCUUGAAUACUGAUGGGGUGCUCAAGGCGUGGUGUGGCAGAGGCUCUGCGUUUGCUGAUGGCAAUGGGCCUGACUUGCCAUUGUCCCCUGCUCAUGUGGUAGUAAGUAUUUCCAGCUUAUCUAAAGAUAUAAAAGAUCUUACAUUUCCAGUUAAAAAUUAAAGAUGGCUAGAGCUCUUGGAACCCUGAGUAGUACCUGCUAUUAGUUCAUAUCGUCUGGUAAGUAGAAUCUAUUUCACUUCAGUAGAAGUACAGAUCGUCUGUUGUUUUAUAUCAGCAGUGAUCAGAAAAAUCUUGGCAUGCAUUGCUUUGUUUCAGUCCCUUCGCAUUUCUUGUCAAUGGAAGAUUUCUCCCAGAAGAAAAUCUGUGUCUGAAAUUUGCUAAUAUGAAAUAGUACAGUAUGCCCACCAGUACUUGACUUUACUGGCUCAAUGGGCCAGGCAGAAGGAAAUUCCAAUUGGUUGUUUUCUUUGAGUUGAAUCAUUAUAACAAACUUAGCCCUCAUUAUGUUGUAUCUGCAGUUUUUGAAUUCAAUUGAAGUAAAAGGAAAUAUCAUAGUUUGGUCCUUUCGCGAAUUUUUUUUGUCCAAUUUUUUGUCCUUGUAGGUUUUUCCGUUGCAUUAGAAAACACUGUAGGCUGCUUCCUUGCGUUGCCUCUCCGUUUGCAGGAACAAGAGACCAGUUUUAUGUCAUAGACAUGAACUACUUUCCUGGUAUGUGGCUGCUUUCUUGCGUUGUCUCUCCGUUUGCAGGGAAGGGUGCUCCCAGCCCCCGUCAUGCCCCUUGGCCCCUCCCAACCCUCGUCGUCAUAACGGAGGGUGCUGCGACAAGCCAGCGGAUGAGCGUGGCGAUCCCGCUGGAGCAGUCCAUCACGCCGGUGCUUUAGGACUUUAUGAAUCUCAACAUAUGCUAUCUACCAGUGUAUUACUGUGGAGCCUCGUCGUCGACUCCCACGUCCAUGAGACCACCUAGGAGUUGCUCGUGUACAGCUAGCUCUACCAAUUCGAGGGAUACAUAAGUGGGAGGCGUCCACAAUUCCCAGUGGCGCACGGUUCUGCCGUCUCUCCGCCCUCCCGCGCUGCAUCAACCGACAAAGCUAAUUUAACCAAACAAUUACAAUAGCAGAUUUUAAAAAAUCUAUAUAUUAAGUAGGUGUAGGUGACUCACACGGUUUGAUUAUUUGCUGGACUCUGUACCAUGGUUUGUAGUUUGUACUACAUCCGAUGCAAGAAAGAAUAAAAUUAUAGUUCUGGAAU